GAUGAACGCUAGCGGCAGGCCUAACACAUGCAAGUCGAGGGAGAAGCCCUUCGGGGCAGAAACCGGCGCACGGGUGCGUAACGCGUAUGCAACCUACCUUUCACAGGGGGAUAGCCCGAAGAAAUUUGGAUUAAUACCCCAUAAUAUUAUUGGAUGGCAUCAUUUGAUAAUUAAAAUUACGAUGGUGAAAGAUGGGCAUGCGUCCUAUUAGCUAGUUGGAGUGGUAACGGCACCCCAAGGCUACGAUAGGUAGGGGUCCUGAGAGGGAGAUCCCCCACACUGGUACUGAGACAGGGACCAGACUCCAUACGGGAGGCAGC
Molecule: ribosomal RNA, 320 nt
Filed under: Capnocytophaga granulosa
Lineage: Bacteria; Pseudomonadati; Bacteroidota; Flavobacteriia; Flavobacteriales; Flavobacteriaceae
Description: bacterial SSU rRNA
Rfam family: Bacterial small subunit ribosomal RNA
Source: RNAcentral